Molecule: long non-coding RNA, 1726 nt
Filed under: Triticum aestivum (bread wheat)
Lineage: Eukaryota; Viridiplantae; Streptophyta; Magnoliopsida; Poales; Poaceae
Description: long non-coding RNA (TAES_LNC019499)
Source: RNAcentral
CACAUCUUUCUUCUCUUCCCCAGGCCGAAGGGAAGAAUCCCUUUCUCCUCUCUUCUCCAGCCAGCCUACUCCCUCCUCCCUUCCUGCCCCACUCCUCCCUAGGUACGUCCUUAAUGCACCAUGCCCUUCACCACCUCCAUGGUUGCCCUUUGAUUUAGGGCUUUGAGGAAGAAGGAAAGGAGACAAGAAGAGGGAGAACAAGAAAGCUUCCCCAACUUUUCCCUUCACCAAAUCUUUAUGAUUUGACCAUAGAGGUGAGGUUCCCCAUCAUUUAUGACCUCUCAUCCUCUAUUAGUGAUGAUUCACGGAGUAUAGGGUUAGGACUUGAAACCUAUGUGAAGGAAUUGGGGAAAAAGUUGUUCGUGUUGCUGUUUCUGGGCGUUCAGAUAUGGAAACCAGCAAUUUCGAGUUCCUAUAUGCAAAAUUAGGUGGGCGUCAUGUGGAAUGUUUUGUAGGUAUUGUUCCCACUAUCGUUUUGACUGGUAAUUCACUCAAUUUGGUUCAGCCGUUUAGCCGGGGCGAUAAAAACAAGUUGCUGCUCUGUUUCUGCAAAACAGCAUUUCUAUGGUUUUUGCCCAUAGCUUUUCAGGAUCUUCGAGGGCUGAUAAAUUGAUGCUGUACAAUUGUAUAGCUACCUGAUACCUUUUAGUUCAUAGAUCAAUUUUAUUUACUUACUCCCCAUGAGUAUUGGUUUUGCUAUGGAUUUCCAAAGGCGGCUACUCAUUAUUCCUGAAUCUGAAAACAGCAGAGAUGUUGGCCUGAAAGCCGCAGUGACUUGGUGCUGCCUGGUGGCCAUGGCCGUGUGGGCGGCGUGGUAGCCAGGGUGUGGCGUUCGGUGGCGGUGAAUAUUGGUCGGGGUGAAAACCUAUUCUAUCUUCGGAUUCACCGGCGACGGCGAAGCUCGUUCCCUUCUUGAAGGCGUCGCCGCGACUCUCGCUGCCCAUCGUGUUGCUCCGGGGGAAACUCUGAUCCUUGGGUCAGGCGGUGGCGGCGCUUCGGUGUCGUAACCUUCCUGUAGGCACCGCCUUGGAGCCCACGGUGCCUCGUAUGUAGCUUCUUCUCUAGGCGGUGGCGUGUUCACGGUUGAGGCCCCAAGGGCUCUUGUAGUGCUAGGGGUGGUGUUGCUACGCUCAGCACCUAUGUAUCAUGCCUUGGGUAUGUGUGUGUGUUGUGGUGGCAUGUGUUGUACUGGGUUGUUGGUGAUCUUUGCUUUAUAUAUAAAGCGGGGCGAAAGCCUUUUUCGGUAAACAACAGAGAUGUUUUUGCUGGUUUUGACCCCCAUAACCACAUAAUCUGAGGUUUGAAUAGUUGGAGUUAUUUGUAGAUGAGUUCCCCAUGAAUCCAUAGCCAUCUCGUUUGCAUGUUUUAGAGCUUCCUAGCUUGAGCUAUGGUUUUUUCCUUGAAGGGACAGCAAAGGGUUGCUUCCCGGGAAUGCAAUUAGGUGCGUUUUUGUGUGUGCUUUGCAUAGCUUGCUUUGAUGCAAUCUUUAAAACUUGUAUGUAUGUCUCUACAGCAGGUUGCAGCACCAAUCCACCGGAGAUAGCCUCGCGCCACCUCCCUCGCAACGGUUGAGGCGAGUACACCGGGCAACAAGACCUAGAUUGCUCCCUUAAUAUUAUGUUCAUGUUCACGUUAUUCCUUUACAUUCAUGCAAUGGUGAACAUAGAAUUCCCUAGUGUACAUUUCAAUACACCAUACCACUGGUAUGUGAUAGGGAUUGGUUUUU